Molecule: long non-coding RNA, 350 nt
Organism: Cydia amplana
Lineage: Eukaryota; Metazoa; Arthropoda; Insecta; Lepidoptera; Tortricidae
Exons: 3
Source: RefSeq, a predicted model, not a curated record
UGCAAAUCAGUCGAAGACCUGCCAAAAAUCAAUUAUGUGGUUCGUAAUUAACAUUCUGGUACGUCGAUCCGCCUUGGCAUAAAUCGGCGUAUGGGUUACGUUGGUGUUCCAACAAAACACCGUCUGGCACUUCGUAGCGUCGACUAUGAAAUGCAAUCAAACAUUGCAUAUAUGCACUCAGCUAUUCUGCAAUUUAAAAGUGAUAUCAAUAAAUUGAAGUCUUACAUACCCUAUUUACACACGUUUGAACAGCUUUUGGCCGAUUGCGAAGCUAUGCAAAUACCUUUGGCCGUACCAACAACCACAACACCUUCAGUUGUAAAUGGACCGACGUAUCCUACAGAACCUCC